GUGUGGGCUAUCUGGUUGUGCUUCUGUCACCCCAUUGAUCAUCAGGGUUGAUUCGGCUGAUCUGGCUGGCUGGGCGGGUGUCCCCUUCCUCCCUCACGCUCCACGUGUGUUCCUCCCAAAGCUGCAGGCUAGGUCAGGGAGGACGACCUUCCCCGCUAGAGGACCGUUCUUCAGUCAAGGGUACACAAGUGAAAAAGCCAUGCUCCCCUGCUAGAACCUCCAAACAAGCUCUCAAGGGCCACUGGGUUAUCAAUCAAUUAACCAGCAUUGGGAGCUACUGGAGUUAAGGGGCUAGAUACUAGGGAAGAAAACAGAGAUCUUCCUCCAGGGGCUCUGUAAUCU
RNAcentral lists this small nuclear RNA (342 nucleotides) under Dasypus novemcinctus (nine-banded armadillo). RNAcentral's name for it is "7SK RNA (ENSDNOG00000039141.1)". The stretch from base 1 to 276 matches the Rfam family "7SK RNA". Rfam says of the family: 7SK was discovered as an abundant small nuclear RNA in the mid-70s but a possible function has only recently been suggested. Two independent studies have found that 7SK RNA binds the CDK9/cyclin T complex (known as elongation factor P-TEFb). P-TEFb activates transcription by phosphorylating the C-terminal domain of RNA polymerase II. The record is from RNAcentral. Lineage: Eukaryota; Metazoa; Chordata; Mammalia; Cingulata; Dasypodidae.